Molecule: ribosomal RNA, 526 nt
Filed under: Arthrobacter sp. G5
Lineage: Bacteria; Bacillati; Actinomycetota; Actinomycetes; Micrococcales; Micrococcaceae
Description: bacterial SSU rRNA
Rfam family: Bacterial small subunit ribosomal RNA
Source: RNAcentral
GCGGAUUAAUUCGAUGCAACGCGAAGAACCUUACCAAGGCUUGACAUGUGCCAGACCGCCUCAGAGAUGGGGUUUCCCUUCGGGGCUGGUUCACAGGUGGUGCAUGGUUGUCGUCAGCUCGUGUCGUGAGAUGUUGGGUUAAGUCCCGCAACGAGCGCAACCCUCGUUCCAUGUUGCCAGCACGUAGUGGUGGGGACUCAUGGGAGACUGCCGGGGUCAACUCGGAGGAAGGUGGGGAUGACGUCAAAUCAUCAUGCCCCUUAUGUCUUGGGCUUCACGCAUGCUACAAUGGCCGGUACAAUGGGUUGCGAUACUGUGAGGUGGAGCUAAUCCCUAAAAGCCGGUCUCAGUUCGGAUUGGGGUCUGCAACUCGACCCCAUGAAGUCGGAGUCGCUAGUAAUCGCAGAUCAGCAACGCUGCGGUGAAUACGUUCCCGGGCCUUGUACACACCGCCCGUCAAGUCACGAAAGUUGGUAACACCCGAAGCCGAUGGCCUAACCACCUUGUGUGGGGGGAGUCGUCGAAG